CACGGACUUCGGUCUGGUGGCGAGUGGCGAACGGGUGAGUAAUAUAUCGGAACGUAUCCAAUAAUGGGGGAUAACUAAUCGAAGGUUGGCUAAUACCGCAUACGCCCUACGGGGGAAAGCUAGGGAUCUUCGGACCUGGCGUUAAUGGAGCGGCCGAUAUCUGAUUAGCUAGUUGGUGAGGUAAGAGCUCACCAAGGCGACGAUCAGUAGCUGGUCUGAGAGGACGACCAGCCACACUGGAACUGAGACACGGUCCAGACUCCUACGGGAGGCAGCAGUGGGGAAUUUUGGACAAUGGGCGCAAGCCUGAUCCAGCCAUUCCGCGUGAGUGAAGAAGGCCUUCGGGUUGUAAAGCUCUUUCGCAAGGGAAGAAAACUUAGUCUCUAACAUAGACUGAGGUUGACGGUACCUUGAUAAGAAGCACCGGCUAACUACGUGCCAGCAGCCGCGGUAAUACGUAGGGUGCGAGCGUUAAUCGGAAUUCUGGGCGUAAAGCGUGCGCAGGCGGUUUUGUAAGUCAGAUGUGAAAU
Molecule: ribosomal RNA, 530 nt
Filed under: uncultured Methylophilaceae bacterium
Lineage: Bacteria; Pseudomonadati; Pseudomonadota; Betaproteobacteria; Nitrosomonadales; Methylophilaceae
Description: bacterial SSU rRNA
Rfam family: Bacterial small subunit ribosomal RNA
Source: RNAcentral